AUGGAGAAGAGAACAUGAAAAGAACAACAUACCUUAUUGAAUUAUACUUGAUUCUUUGUUAACAAACGAGAUUUGGGAAAUGGAGAGGGAAAUUUUUUAGUUUUUGGAAGUUUGGAAGUGGGAGUGGAAAAGAGGGAAAGUUGUUGUUUUGAAAAUGAAAUAGAGUGGACAGAAAAAAUAACCUACACAGAACUUAAGUGGUUCUGCCACGCACCGUUCGC
RNAcentral lists this long non-coding RNA (221 nucleotides) under Lathyrus oleraceus (garden pea). Its description in RNAcentral is "Pisum sativum (pea) long non-coding RNA (PSAT_LNC038661)". Lineage: Eukaryota; Viridiplantae; Streptophyta; Magnoliopsida; Fabales; Fabaceae. The record is from RNAcentral.